Molecule: non-coding RNA, 73 nt
Organism: Harpegnathos saltator (Jerdon's jumping ant)
Lineage: Eukaryota; Metazoa; Arthropoda; Insecta; Hymenoptera; Formicidae
Source: Rfam
CGUCAGAUAGCUCAGUGGUCUAGAGCAGUCGCCCGGCAAGCGAAAGACCCUGUUUCUAUUCCCGGUCUAGCGA